Molecule: transfer RNA, 73 nt
Filed under: Sphaerodactylus townsendi
Lineage: Eukaryota; Metazoa; Chordata; Lepidosauria; Squamata; Sphaerodactylidae
Description: tRNA-Thr
Rfam family: tRNA
About the family: Transfer RNA (tRNA) molecules are approximately 80 nucleotides in length. Their secondary structure includes four short double-helical elements and three loops (D, anti-codon, and T loops).
Source: RNAcentral
AGAGGUUGUGGCUCAGAGGAAGAGCGUCUGCUUGGUAUGCACAAGGUCCCAGGUUCAAUUCCUGCUGCCUCCA